RNAcentral lists this ribosomal RNA (374 nucleotides) under uncultured bacterium. RNAcentral's name for it is "partial 16S ribosomal RNA". It matches the Rfam family "Bacterial small subunit ribosomal RNA", at positions 338 to 709 of the family's 1533-position model. The record is from RNAcentral.
CCUACGGGUGGCAGCAGUGAGGAAUAUUGGUCAAUGGCCGAAAGGCUGAACCAGCCAAGUCGCGUGAAGGAAGAAGGAUCUAUGGUUUGUAAACUUCUUUUAUAGGGGAAUAAAGGUAGCCACGUGUGGAUAUUUGCAUGUACCCUAUGAAUAAGCAUCGGCUAACUCCGUGCCAGCAGCCGCGGUAAUACGGAGGAUGCGAGCGUUAUCCGGAUGUAUUGGGUUUAAAGGGUGCGUAGGUUGUUUGUUAAGUCCGCUGUGAAAGUGUGUGGCUCAACCGUAAAAUUGCAGGGGAAAGUGGAAUGUUUGAGUACAGGAGAGGUGGGCGGAAGUCGUGGUGUAGCGGUGAAAUGCUUAGAUAGUAGGAAGAACUC